This 253-nucleotide ribosomal RNA is filed under the name uncultured bacterium. RNAcentral describes it as "partial 16S ribosomal RNA". It matches the Rfam family "Bacterial small subunit ribosomal RNA", at positions 524 to 776 of the family's 1533-position model. RNAcentral also lists the same sequence under 1 other name. The record is from RNAcentral.
UACGUAGGGGGCAAGCGUUGUCCGGAAUCAUUGGGCGUAAAGCGCGUGUAGGCGGCUUGGUAAGUCCGUUCUGAAAGCCCGGGGCUCAACCCCGGGAGGCGGAUGGAUACUGUCAAGCUCGAGUCCGGAAGAGGCGAGUGGAAUUCCAGGUGUAGCGGUGAAAUGCGCAGAUAUCUGGAGGAACACCAAUGGCGAAGGCAGCUCGCUGGGACGGUACUGACGCUGAGACGCGAAAGCGUGGGGAGCAAACAGG